Candidatus Roizmanbacteria bacterium is the source of this 2103-nucleotide non-coding RNA. Lineage: Bacteria; Candidatus Roizmaniibacteriota. The record is from Rfam.
GAUGGGAGAAAAUAAAGCCAAUGGAGGAUGCCUUGGCAGUUUGAGCCGAAGAAGGACGCGUGUUUAAGCGCGAAAACAACGAUGAGCCCUUCAGCAGGCGUUAUUAAUCGUUGGUUUCCGAAUGGGGGAACCCCUUCUUGAGAAAUCAAGGAGUCAGGUACCAUCUGGUACCUGAGGGAACCCAGGGAACUGAAACAUCUCAGUACCUGGUGGAAAAGAAAUCAUAUAAAAUCCUCAGUCGCAAGACAAAAGGAUGAGAUUCUGUAAGUAGCGGCGAGCGAAAGCAGAUCAGCCUAAACCCUGCCUUCGGGUGGGGAGUUGCGGAGCCACAUACGGGAGUAAUUUUGAUAGAAAAAUACCCUGGAAAGGGUAGCCAUAGAAAGUGAUAGCCUUGUAUUCCAAAUCAAAAUUACCCUAGUGGAUUUCCCAAGUACCACGAGUCACGGCAAACCUUGUGGGAAUCUGGGUCGGUCACGAUCCAAGGCUAAAUACUCAAACUGACCGAUAGUGAAUUAGUACUGCGAAGGAAAGGUGAAAAGUCCCCCGGAAGGGGAGUGAAAUAGAACCUGAAACCAUUGGCUAACAAUCAGACAGAGUCCCGCCUUUGGCGGGAUGAUGUCGUGCCUAUUGAAGAAUGAGCUAGCGAGUGUUCGAAUGCUGCAAGUUUAACCCCCAAAUAUUCGGGGGAAAGCGAAGCGAAAGCGAGUCUGAAUAGGGCGUCUAGCAGCUUUCGAACUGCCCGAAACCAGGUGAGCUAACCAUGAGCAGGAUGAAGCGCGUCGAGAGACGAGUGGAGGUCCGAACCCGUUGUCGGUGAAAUGGCAUGGGAGGACUUGUGGUUAGGGGUAAUAUGCCUAUCGAACCUGGAGAUAGCUGGUUCUCCCCGAGAUAUAUUUAGGUAUAGCCUUCCCAAGUACAGUGCGAGGUAGAGCUACUAGAUGGUUUUAGCAACCGCAAGGUUGUUAGAAUCAACUAAACUCCGAAUGCGCACCUUAAAAUUGGGAGGAGUCAGACCUAUCGGUAUAAGCUGAUAUGGUCGAGAGGGAAACAACCCAGAUUUUCGUCUAAGGUUCCAAAAUGCCUUUUAAGUGGUAAAGGCCGUUUUAUUUCCAAUACAGCAGGGAGGUUGGCUCAGAAGCAGCCAUCCUUUAAAGAGUGCGUAACAGCUCACCUGAAUAUGGGGUGCCGUCUGGUACCCCAGGAGAUAAUGCGCCAAAAAUGAACGGAGCUAAAAAGGUUACCGAAGACAGAACUCCAACUUUAUGUUGGGGGGUAGGGGAGCUUUCUUAAUGCAGUGAAGCUGUACUGUAAGGUAUGGUGGAGCGUUAAGAAGUGAGAAUGCUAGCAUAAGUAGUGUAUCUCCCGAUGAAAACUCGGGAUGCCGAAUGUUCAAGGUUUCCUCAGCAACGUCUAUCGUCUGAGGGUUAGUCGAAUCUAAGGAAGUGCCAUUUUUGGUACUACCGAUGUACAAGCAGUUAAUAUUCUGCUACCAAGAUGUAUACGUUAUUACUUUAUGAAUGACGAAAUUUGCUACUCAAAGCCUUCUAUAUGAGGGUUUAAGCUGUAAGCUGCAACGCAAGUUGCAGUAAGCUGCAAAUACAACUCCGAGCAAUCGGGGGAGUUUGAAGACGUAAGUUUCCGGGAAAAAUUUAUGAAGGAGUAUACAUUUUGUUCGUACCGAUAACCGACUCAGGUGAACUGGUCGAGAAGACUAAGGCAUACGGGUAAGGAUGGUUCAAGGAACUCGGCAAAAAAGCGAGCGUAAGUUUAUCGAUAAGCUCUGGAGGUACCACACGGUACCCCCCGCAGCAAACGUUUGUCAACCGACUGUUUAGCAAAAACACAGGUUCCUGCAAAUCUGCAUAAGAGAUGUAUAGGAGCUGAGGCCUGUCCGGUACUGGUAAGUUAAUCGUUGGGGUUGAUUAUGGCGAGCAAUCUCCAUACAAGGCUUCGACGCAAGCUCCAGUGAACGACAGCUCUAACCCUGAGAGUUCUAAGGUAGCGUAGCCCCUUGCCGGGUAAGUUCCGGCCCGCAUGAAAGGUUUAACGAGUUGACAACUGUCUUGAACCAUUGCCCGACGAAGUUGAAAUGGCUGUGAAGAU